AUGACGAGCAACGCCUUGGAGUUAGUAUGCUGGAAUGUAAGAGGUCUUAACAGUCCGGCCAAGAGGAAGGCGCUUAGAGGAUUUGUGGAAUCUACCCGCGCGGCGAUUGUUUGUAUUCUAGAAACUAAAUUAGAGGUGGUGGACAUUUAUGUAAUCUUGCAAUGCAUGGGUCCGAGCUAUGAUGGUUUCACUUACCUGCCGGCUUCCGACACUAGAGGAGGCAUUGUCGUGGCUUGGGACACCACGAGGGUGCUUUUGACAAAUUUUGUCAAUGAUUCUCAUUGCGUCACUGAGUACGUUUCGCCCAAGGAGGGGACGCCAUGGUGGUUAACUGUAGUCUAUGGGCCGCAGGAGGACGAGAGCAAGAUCAACUUCCUGAAUGAGUUAUCGGAGCAUAGAUCGCUAAGCCCAGGACCUUGGCUUGUUAUUGGCGACUUCAAUCUUAUUCUACAUGCGACAGACAAGAAUAACGCCAACUUGGACCGGAGAAUGAUGGGGAAGUUCAAACGUUUUGUGGACAAUAAUGCUCUCAAGGAGAUGUUCUUGCAUGGGCGCAGAUUCACAUGGAGCAAUGAAAGAGAGACGCCCACGCUCACUAAAAUUGAUCGUGCACUUGUCUCCAUGGAUUGGGAACUAGAACACCCGGAAUGUUUGCUGCAAGCCUUAUCCACCGAGUACUCGGAUCACUGCCCGUUGCACCUCACGCUGCAUGAGCCGAGCAUGUGA
RNAcentral lists this ribosomal RNA (726 nucleotides) under Triticum aestivum (bread wheat). Its description in RNAcentral is "partial small subunit ribosomal RNA". The record is from RNAcentral. Lineage: Eukaryota; Viridiplantae; Streptophyta; Magnoliopsida; Poales; Poaceae.